Chrysemys picta bellii (western painted turtle) is the source of this 3708-nucleotide RNA transcript. It is a transcript of the gene named TAFA chemokine like family member 5, with no coding region annotated. Lineage: Eukaryota; Metazoa; Chordata; Testudines; Emydidae. The record is from RefSeq and is a predicted model, not a curated record.
CCCGCCCCCUCCUCUCGACCCCUCCCUGCCCCUCCCUGCUUGACCUUGCCCCUCUUCUGCCCAGCGGGGAGCAGAUCCGGACGGCGAGCGCCGGCUGAGCGCUGCGCAGGCUCAGCUCUCGGGCAUGCUCACUACCACCCGGGGAGCGAAAUCGGGGAAAGUUGCGAGGGGAAGCCGGCAGGGUUUAAAUGCGACGGAGCGGGGCUGGGAUUGGGCGCGUUGAGGCGCUACCGCCGCCGAUCUCCCCCGGCCGAAGUACCUCCAGGGAGCUUGCAUGCAGGCAGGCUCCCGGUUCACAGCCCCAGCGCAGGCAGGCAGCGCUUGCAUCUCUACAGGCACCCAGCCUACAGCAGCCCAAAUACACCCAGAAAGGGGGAUCUUCAGCGUGCGGCCGUCCAGCCACACAACUACACCUUGGGAGGUUGCACCUUCCGGGCACCCAGCCCUCCGCUCCCCGCGCACCCGGAGAGACACCGAGAUCCGCUGCGUGAGCCCAGCCAGACUGAGCCGACAAGCCCCGAUACUCCCUGGGAGCUUGCCUCCACCAAGACGCCCAGCCUAGAGGUCUAACGCGACCCCGAAAGGAAGCGCUCCAGCGAGCGAGCCCCAGGCUGCGCUUACAGCCCAACUCCACCCGAGACUGAGUGGAAGAUGUGCAGCGUGCAGCCAAUCCAGACACCCAGCCCACAGCUCCAACCUCUCUGAGCGCCGAUCGGGCAGAACCUCACAAAUCAGCUCCUCUCUGCCGCCAGCCAGCCAGCAGCUCCCCAACCCUCCUCCCGCUUUUCCUCCAAACCCGACGGCCCGGGAGCUGCUCCUCGCCAACGACCCGCUGCGAUCAUUCAGCACCCGCUCGUUCCCCCUCGGCGGCGGCAGCAGCAGCACCCCAAGCUUGGGAAUUGUAUUGUUGGAGUGUGUGUGUGCGUGUGAGCGCGCGAGGGAGAUUGCUACGGAGGCAUCAACCUGUAGGCUGAGAUUUCUUUUGCGGCAGCUACCUGUUUGGAAAGCGCUUUGCGGGUGCAGCAGGAAAAGCGCACAGAGACUUAUGCAACCCCUCCUCAAUCUGGAGGCGGGCAAGUGAACUAGGUCUCCGGCCCCGGCACAGCGCAGCCUUUCCGGGGGAGGGCUCCCCAUCCCGGCUGCUGGCUGGAUCCGGACGAAGACGGAAUCAGGCAGCGGGAGGUGAGAGCCCAAGUGAAGGCAAGCGGCUUUGCAAGGCAGCGCACGCCAGGAGCUGCACCGUGGCCCGCUGGUACCUACACGUCCCCGGGAUAACAGGAUACAUUGAUUUGCUCUGAAUGGGAGAAGCUCUCCAAACCUGGUGGGUGGCUCAGAUUGUGAUCAUCAGCUUAGAGAAGUUGCAGUAAAGAGAGAUUUCCCCUCCCAUUCCCACGCUCCCCCUUCUCCACAGAUUGUGGUGGCAGACGCCGGACAGGUAACCCAGCAAGCCGGGUGAUGGUGCACUGGCUUCCCCGGAGCCCUAGACAGAUAAGCCUGGCUCCCGCAUUCCCAGCACUGCUGAGCCGGAGCAGUCACUGAACCACCACCAGCAGCAGCAGCAAAAGCACCCCCCACCGGAGCAGUGUGGGAGCUAUUGCGCAAUUCUGCCCAGAUUUGCUUCCCUCACUCCCUCCCCAACCCUCAAUGCUGCUCAACUCACGAGGAAACAGAAAGCUGAUUCAUGGAUCCCAGACCCAGCUUCCUCUGUGCUGCUGUCCAUAAGAAGAUCAUGGUGCUGCUGCUGCUUGAGACUUUGUUGUAAAUCCCCUCCCCCCCUCCCCAAAUCCUGAGCGCUCGCUCUCUCUCGGAAGUGUGGUUACUGCUUGGGGAGCAGCCGAGCCUGGCGCAAAAGGGGAAACGUUGAUGCAUCGCUGUGGAAAUUCAUUGUGUGACUUUCUGGGUAUUUACUGAGUUUCAAACCGAGAUGCAGCUCUUGAAAGCUUUAUGGGCAUUAGCAGGAGCAGCUAUCUGCUGUUUUCUUAUAUUUGUCAUCCGCUCACAGUUCCUUAAAGAAGGUCAACUGGCUGCAGGUACAUGUGAGAUUGUUACUUUGGACAGAGAUAGCAGUCAGCCCCGAAGGACUAUAGCCCGACAAACAGCUCGCUGUGCAUGUAAAAAAGGACAGAUUGCCGGUACAACAAGAGCAAGGCCAGCCUGCGUGGAUGCACGAAUUAUCAAAACAAAACAGUGGUGUGAAAUGCUUCCAUGUUUAGAAGGAGAAGGCUGUGAUUUGCUAAUCAAUAAAUCAGGCUGGACCUGUACACAACCGGGUGGGCGAAUAAAGACAACCACGAAAUCUGAUCACCACAGAACUCCUUGCCAAAAUUCCACAGAAACCAGGGGGUAUUGGGGAUCUUGCCAAAGAAUUUAGAUCCAAUAUGCUGCACAAUACACAGGGCUCUGCCUCUGAUAGACAGCGACACACUGGUCUCCUGACAAAUGCAGCAGCAAAGAAUUCUCGUAUGAGUGGUCUAGGUUCUGUGUGAGCUACUUACCUUAGUCAAGUUUCACUGCUGUGGAUCAUCAUCCAUUAUAUGUCAUCAAUUCAACUGUCUGUUUCUCUAUAUCUCAUAAAAGACAGCAUAAUUCCUCUACAUUAUGAGCUAAAAGUCUGUUCUACCAUUCUAAGAAGCACUGGACUAAGGAAUAUAGAUAUAAGAGAUACGCUUGGGCAUUAGCAAUACAAAAAGUUCAUGGUUAACGUUUCAUCUGCGUUAUACACCACUGUUGGACUCGAUGUUACCGACAUGUUUUGAUCUGAAGAGUCUACUGCACUGAAGAGUAUUCAUCCCAAUCAGCCUUAGAGAAGACUGUUUUGUCUAUGGGAGGACACUGAGGUGCAAAAGAGAAUCUCUUCUUGUGCCGUGGACUGUCUGAAUUGCUUUUAUUUUCUUAUACUUUCAGUAUAUACAAUAGACCAAAGAGCAAAAUCUAUUUUAAAGUGGACACAAUCUUACUGUUAACAGAGCUAUCUGGGUUAAAUUGUAGGGUGGUCUCCACAAAGACAUGAUUUCAACUCUCACAAAGCUGAGAUGUUCCUGUACAGCAGAAGUCUUUAUGGAACACUGCAGUAAAAACUAAACUAGAAAAUUACUCUUGAAAAACCACAUUAUAAACAACGAAAUGGAGCAUGGAGAGAAAACGGCGUAUGUUUGAAAAACUUUGAUGAAACAACUACAAACUGUCUACAUGGCACCUUUAUUCCUCUGUACUUAGAUUGACUUUCUCAUACUAAAAUCAUUUUCAGUUUUAACCAGUUAAACAUGCCUCUUCUACAGUUCCAUUUUUGAUAGUUAAAAUUGGAUAAUACAGUAUUUGCAAAGAGCAUGUUUGGUCAUCUGUGGCCUAUGUCUCAUCUGAUACACCAUUUAGCACCAGAAAGCAAAUUAAAGAAAAAAAAAGUAACACUUGUUUGAAAGAGAUCAUUAAAUGUAUUUUGAAAAGCCUAAAGUUAUAUAUUUAACAGUUUUUAUAUGUUGUAUAUUUGUAGAAAAUCCUAUUUAACAAUUAACGUGGUAACUCUGACGGUCAUGACAAAUGGUUCAGAGUUAAGUUGUGUUUUAUUACUUCAGUUGUCUCUGAAGUGACAGGUGUCAUUUGCUUUCUUCCAUUAGGACAUUCUGGAUGUAAAGCAUGACCAGAGAGGACUCUGUAGAAAAAGCAAAGAAUAAUGUUGUUUCUAUUACAUAAAUGCAUUCAACCAUUGCA